This 253-nucleotide ribosomal RNA is filed under the name uncultured bacterium. Its description in RNAcentral is "partial 16S ribosomal RNA". It matches the Rfam family "Bacterial small subunit ribosomal RNA", at positions 524 to 776 of the family's 1533-position model. The record is from RNAcentral.
UACGUAGGGUGCGAGCGUUAAUCGGAAUUACUGGGCGUAAAGCGUGCGCAGGCGGUUGGUUAAGUUGGAUGUGAAAGCCCCGGGCUCAACCUGGGAACUGCAUUUGUGACUGCAAGGCUAGAGUACGGCAGAGGGGGAUGGAAUUCCGCGUGUAGCAGUGAAAUGCGUAGAUAUGCGGAGGAACACCAAUGGCGAAGGCAAUCCCCUGGGCCUGCACUGACGCUCAUGCACGAAAGCGUGGGGAGCAAACAGG